Molecule: ribosomal RNA, 731 nt
Filed under: uncultured bacterium
Lineage: Bacteria
Description: bacterial SSU rRNA
Rfam family: Bacterial small subunit ribosomal RNA
Source: RNAcentral
UUCCCGGUGUAGCGGUGAAAUGCGUAGAGAUCGGGAGGAAUACCAGUGGCGAAGGCGGCCUUCUGGACUGACACUGACACUGAGGUGCGAAAGCGUGGGUAGCAAACAGGAUUAGAUACCCUGGUAGUCCACGCCGUAAACGAUGUCGACCAGCCGUUGGGUGCCUAGCGCACUUUGUGGCGAAGUUAACGCGAUAAGUCGACCGCCUGGGGAGUACGGCCGCAAGGUUAAAACUCAAAUGAAUUGACGGGGGCCCGCACAAGCGGUGGAGCAUGUGGUUUAAUUCGAUGCAACGCGAAGAACCUUACCUACUCUUGACAUCCUGCGAACUUGUGAGAGAUCACUUGGUGCCUUCGGGAGCGCAGAGACAGGUGCUGCAUGGCUGUCGUCAGCUCGUGUUGUGAAAUGUUGGGUUAAGUCCCGUAACGAGCGCAACCCUUGUCCUUAUUUGCCAGCGGGUAAUGCCGGGAACUCUAAGGAGACUGCCGGUGACAAACCGGAGGAAGGUGGGGACGACGUCAAGUCAUCAUGGCCCUUACGAGUAGGGCUACACACGUGCUACAAUGGCCGGUACAAAGGGUUGCGAGCUCGCGAGAGUCAGCUAAUCCCGAAAAGCCGGUCUCAGUCCGGAUCGGAGUCUGCAACUCGACUCCGUGAAGUCGGAAUCGCUAGUAAUCGUGAAUCAGAAUGUCACGGUGAAUACGUUCCCGGGCCUUGUACACACCGCCCGU